Molecule: unclassified non-coding RNA, 331 nt
Filed under: soil metagenome
Description: partial contains 5.8S ribosomal RNA, internal transcribed spacer 2, and large subunit ribosomal RNA
Rfam family: 5.8S ribosomal RNA (bases 1-120)
Source: RNAcentral
GAUGAAGAACGCAACGAAAUGCGAUACGUAAUGUGAAUUGCAGAAUUCAGUGAAUCAUCGAAUCUUUGAACGCACAUUGCGCCCCCUGGUAUUCCGGGGGGCAUGCCUGUUCGAGCGUCAUUUCACCACUCAAGCCUCGCUUGGUAUUGGGCAACGCGGUCCGCCGCGUGCCUCAAAUCGUCCGGCUGGGUCUUCUGUCCCCUAAGCGUUGUGGAAACUAUUCGCUAAAGGGUGUUCGGGAGGCUACGCCGUAAAACAACCCCAUUUCUAAGGUUGACCUCGGAUCAGGUAGGGAUACCCGCUGAACUUAAGCAUAUCAAUAAGCGGAGGA